RNAcentral lists this RNase P RNA (377 nucleotides) under bovine gut metagenome. RNAcentral describes it as "Bacterial RNase P class A". It matches the Rfam family "Bacterial RNase P class A". From Rfam's summary of the family: Ribonuclease P (RNase P) is a ubiquitous endoribonuclease, found in archaea, bacteria and eukarya as well as chloroplasts and mitochondria. The record is from RNAcentral.
GCUGCACAGGCGGUCGCGGCCGUCUUCCGCAAAGGAGGCGGGUGAGGAAAGUCCGGGCUUCGCAGGGCAGGACGCCGGAUAACGUCCGGUGGAGGUGACUCCCAGGCCAGUGCAACAGAAAAGAAACCGCCUUUCCGCAAGCCGGAAGGGUAAGGGUGGAAUGGCAGUGCAAGAGACUACCGCGCUUCAGGUAACUGUAAGCGGCUGUGUAAACCCCGUCCGAAGCAAGACCAGAUUGAAAGCGAUGCAGCGGCCCGCUGCGGUCUUUCGGGUAGGUUGCUUGAGCCUGCCGGCAACGGCAGGCCUAGAAAGAUGAUCGCCGGCCUCCGGGUGAGAUUCCCAGAGCGCAACAUAACCCGGCUUAUCGUGCAGCUCUU